RNAcentral lists this ribosomal RNA (407 nucleotides) under Verrucomicrobiota bacterium. RNAcentral's name for it is "Verrucomicrobia bacterium partial 16S ribosomal RNA". It matches the Rfam family "Bacterial small subunit ribosomal RNA", at positions 355 to 776 of the family's 1533-position model. Lineage: Bacteria; Pseudomonadati; Verrucomicrobiota. The record is from RNAcentral.
UGGGGAAUAUUGGACAAUGGAGGGAACUCUGAUCCAGCAAUUCUGUGUGUGUGAAGAAGGUUUUAGGACUGUAAAACACUUUUAGUAGGGAAGAAAAAAAUGACGGUACCUACAGAAGAAGCAACGGCUAAAUACGUGCCAGCAGCCGCGGUAAUACGUAUGUUGCGAGCGUUAUCCGGAAUUAUUGGGCUUAAAGGGCAUCUAGGCGGUAAGACAAGUUGAAGGUGAAAACCUGUGGCUCAACCAUAGGCUUGCCUACAAAACUGUUGAACUAGAGUACUGGAAAGGUGGGUGGAACUACACGAGUAGAGGUGAAAUUCGUAGAUAUGUGUAGGAAUGCCGAUGAUGAAGAUAACUCACUGGACGGAAACUGACGCUGAAGUGCGAAAGCUAGGGGAGCAAACAGG